AUUGAACGCUGGCGGCAGGCCUAACACAUGCAAGUCGAGCGGAUGAAGGGAGCUUGCUCCUGGAUUCAGCGGCGGACGGGUGAGUAAUGCCUAGGAAUCUGCCUGGUAGUGGGGGAUAACGUCCGGAAACGGGCGCUAAUACCGCAUACGUCCUGAGGGAGAAAGUGGGGGAUCUUCGGACCUCACGCUAUCAGAUGAGCCUAGGUCGGAUUAGCUAAUUGGUGGGGUAAAGGCCUACCAAGGCGACGAUCCGUAACUGGUCUGAGAGGAUGUUCAGUCACACUGGAACUGAGACACGGUCCAGACUCCUACGGGGGGCAGCAGUGGGGAAUAUUGGACAAUGGGCGAAGGCCUGAUCCAGCCAUGCCGCGUGUGUGAAGAAGGUCUUCGGAUUGUAAAGCACUUUAAGUUGGGAGGAAGGGCAGUAAGUUAAUACCUUGCUGUUUUGACGUUACCAACAGAAUAAGCACCGGCUAACUUCGUG
RNAcentral lists this ribosomal RNA (484 nucleotides) under uncultured bacterium. Its description in RNAcentral is "partial 16S ribosomal RNA". It matches the Rfam family "Bacterial small subunit ribosomal RNA", at positions 30 to 507 of the family's 1533-position model. The record is from RNAcentral.